This 440-nucleotide ribosomal RNA is filed under the name uncultured bacterium. Its description in RNAcentral is "partial 16S ribosomal RNA". It matches the Rfam family "Bacterial small subunit ribosomal RNA", at positions 338 to 795 of the family's 1533-position model. The record is from RNAcentral.
CCUACGGGAGGCAGCAGUGGGGAAUAUUGCACAAUGGGGGAAACCCUGAUGCAGCAACGCCGCGUGAGUGAAGAAGGUUUUCGGAUUGUAAAGCUCUGUUAGCAGGGAAGAGGAAGGACGGUACCUGCAGAGGAAGCCACGGCUACCUACGUGCCAGCAGCCGCGGUAAUACGGAGGAUGCGAGCGUUAUCCGGAUUUAUUGGGUUUAAAGGGUGCGUAGGCGGGCUUUUAAGUCAGCGGUAAAAAUUCGGGGCUCAACCCCGUCCGGCCGUUGAAACUGGGGGCCUUGAGUGGGCGAGAAGAAGGCGGAAUGCGUGGUGUAGCGGUGAAAUGCAUAGAUAUCACGCAGAACCCCGAUUGCGAAGGCAGCCUUCCGGCGCCCGACUGACGCUGAGGCACGAAAGUGCGGGGAUCGAACAGGAUUAGAUACCCUUGUAGUC